AGGGAAUCUUCGGCAAUGGACGCAAGUCUGACCGAGCAACGCCGCGUGUGUGAAGAAGGCCUUCGGGUUGUAAAGCACUUUCAGCGGGGAGGAAGGCGUUAAGGUUAAUAACCUUGGCGAUUGACGUUACCCGCAGAAGAAGCACCGGCUAACUCCGUGCCAGCAGCCGCGGUAAUACGGAGGGUGCAAGCGUUAAUCGGAAUUACUGGGCGUAAAGCGCACGCAGGCGGUCUGUCAAGUCGGAUGUGAAAUCCCCGGGCUCAACCUGGGAACUGCAUUCGAAACUGGCAGGCUAGAGUCUUGUAGAGGGGGGUAGAAUUCCAGGUGUAGCGGUGAAAUGCGUAGAGAUCUGGAGGAAUACCGGUGGCGAAGACGGCCCCCUGGACAAAGACUGACGCUCAGGUGCGAAAGCGUGGGGAGCAAAC
This 425-nucleotide ribosomal RNA is filed under the name uncultured bacterium. Its description in RNAcentral is "bacterial SSU rRNA". It matches the Rfam family "Bacterial small subunit ribosomal RNA", at positions 356 to 773 of the family's 1533-position model. The record is from RNAcentral.